GUAGGUGGCAAGCGUUGUCCGGAUUUAUUGGGUUUAAAGGGUGCGUAGGCGGCUCCUUAAGUCAGUGCUGAAAUACUCUAGCUUAACUAGAGGGGUGGCAUUGAUACUGAGGGGCUUGAGUGGAGUCGAGGUAGGCGGAAUUGACGGUGUAGCGGUGAAAUGCUUAGAUAUCGUCAAGAACACCGAUAGUGUAGACAGCUUACUAGGCUUCAACUGACGCUGAGGCACGAAAGUGUGGGGAUCAAACAGGAUUAGAUACCCUGGUAGUCCACACUGUAAACGUUGAUUACUCGCUGUUGGCGAUAUACAGUCAGCGGCUUAGCGCAAGCGAUAAGUAAUCCACCUGGGGAGUACGCCGGCAACGGUGAA
This 369-nucleotide ribosomal RNA is filed under the name uncultured bacterium. Its description in RNAcentral is "bacterial SSU rRNA". It matches the Rfam family "Bacterial small subunit ribosomal RNA", at positions 527 to 898 of the family's 1533-position model. The record is from RNAcentral.